This 253-nucleotide ribosomal RNA is filed under the name uncultured bacterium. Its description in RNAcentral is "partial 16S ribosomal RNA". It matches the Rfam family "Bacterial small subunit ribosomal RNA", at positions 524 to 776 of the family's 1533-position model. The record is from RNAcentral.
UACGAAGGGGGCUAGCGUUGCUCGGAAUCACUGGGCGUAAAGCGAGUGUAGGUGGUCAUCCAAGUUGGAUGUGAAAGCCUUGAGCUCAACUCAAGAAAUGCAUUCAGGACUGAAUGACUAGAGGACCGGAGAGGAUAGUGGAAUUCCCAGUGUAGUGGUGAAAUACGUAGAGAUUGGGAAGAACACCAGUGGCGAAGGCGGCUUUCUGGUCUGUAACUGACGCUGAGGCGCGAAAGCGUGGGGAGCAAACAGG